CGGACGGGUGAGUAACACGUGGAUAACCUACCUAUAAGACUGGGAUAACUUCGGGAAACCGGAGCUAAUACCGGAUAAUAUAUUGAACCGCAUGGUUCAAUAGUGAAAGACGGUUUUGCUGUCACUUAUAGAUGGAUCCGCGCCGCAUUAGCUAGUUGGUAAGGUAACGGCUUACCAAGGCAACGAUGCGUAGCCGACCCGAGAGGGUGAUCGGCCACACUGGAACUGAGACACGGUCCAG
Molecule: ribosomal RNA, 241 nt
Filed under: uncultured Staphylococcus sp.
Lineage: Bacteria; Bacillati; Bacillota; Bacilli; Caryophanales; Staphylococcaceae
Description: partial 16S ribosomal RNA
Rfam family: Bacterial small subunit ribosomal RNA
Source: RNAcentral